This is a long non-coding RNA of Juglans regia (Persian walnut), 1452 nucleotides long. RefSeq lists it as uncharacterized. The record is from RefSeq and is a predicted model, not a curated record. The transcript has 4 exons. Lineage: Eukaryota; Viridiplantae; Streptophyta; Magnoliopsida; Fagales; Juglandaceae.
UCUCUCUCUCGCUGACUCUUCUCUUCAUUUUCUCCCUCACUUUGUGCCGCCACAGUCCCUAGCCGUCGUCGGUAGCAGUUUCUUCAUGCCUGUAAGUCUCUCCAUAUAUCCCUCUCGUCCCUCUCGUUCGGAUCUCUUUUCUCUCUCUCCAUAUGGGUCUCUCACUUUGUCGAUUUUCCAGCCCAUCUCUCUGUUUCUUUGACUCUCCCUCUUGUACGCCGCCUCCGUGCUCCAUCGACUUCCCUUCAUAUGCAUCCUCUCCCUUCUCGACUUCCCUCUUUCUCUCUUCGUCCAUGUCUCUUUUGCUCUCUCCCAGUUUCGUUCCCCUUCUCUCUCUCUCUCUCUCUCUCUCUAACCCUCUAUUUUUUCCUUCCGCCAAUAUCACCGUAGUGACCAGUGCAUGUCGUUGCACCACACGCACAGCCGCUCUGCACCAUCUAAUAGUGUUGUGUUUCUUGACCAAGUGAUUGUUGGGUUCUUAAUGGCUUUUGUCAUUUGGUUUCAAGAACAUGAUUUUCUGGUUAGAAAACUUUUUCAAAAUACUUGCUAAAAUGCCCUGGAAUUCAUUAUUUAUUGAGGCUGGAAAUAAAGACAUAUACAUAAAAUUUGAUUGAAGAUGUUGGAAUCAGAAGGAAAAUACACGAAAGCCCAUAAUUGGAUUUUGAGGAGUUUGAGACUAGUAAGCUUAUCAGAGCAGAAUUGGAUAAGAUGGGUAUUCCCUAUAAUUACCCAGUUGCAGUUACUGGUGUUAUCGACUUCAUUGGGAUUGAUGGAGCCCCUUUUGUGGCCAUAAGGGUUGAUAUGGAUGCUCUUGCUAUGCAGAUUGGGAAUUUGGCAUAUUGUCUACCUGAAGCACCAAAAGUUGUAUAUGGAUUGAGAGGUUCCACUACUGAUAUAUACCUUGACAAUGCAGCUUACAGAGAAUUUCUGUUCAAAUAAUUUAACGUCUCAACUGUUGAUGAAGAAAGUGUUGUUAUUGUAAUGGCAAGUGAAAACAACUCCCGAUGUUCCAUGGAAAAUUGUUUAUUUGUCAUUUUUUGAGAUAAUACAUGUAUGAUUGCUGGAACUACCACGUCUGCAGUAGGUAUUUGGAGCUUAGGGAGUUCCAAACUAUCCUUUGGCUUCAUUUGGUUCAGGACAUAAUUCGCAGUCGGACAGCUUGACACAAAUGCAGUACUUUUUGAUCGAUCAUCAAGGUAGAUCUUAUCUACACUCAGUGGUCAUGCUAAAAAGGUUCAACUGCUUUUAAGUUUUAUUCAUUUGCUCGUGUUUUCUGGUCAUUAAGAUUGGUUGAUUUGAUAACAAUUGGUGCACACUUCCCUACAUUUUUCCAUGUUUAGUAUUAGUGCUUUUUUUCCCCCUUUCUUUUAAAACUACCUAGAUUUUGUUAUUUUUAUUCCAAUAUUUUCUUUUUUGUAAUAUAUUGUUCACACUCUUUAUGUGUUUUAGGUA